UUUUUAUCAAAAAAAGCAACUCUUUCCAUUAAGAAAAAUUUCAACUAACAUAUAAAUACCAUAAUAUUAGCAUUACACAUCACUUUUACUUCCUAAUACUAUAACUCCUAUAGACUGCUCAAAGGCAGGCUCUUCCCACCCUUAUGGGAAGCUCUGAACCUGGGCAUGCCCAGUGGGCUUGCAAUAGUGUGACUUUUACCAAAUGGCCAUUGGCCAAAUAUCUAUGAGUAUGAUGAACUUGCGUUCAAGUUACAACAGACCAAUAUAAUUACAGGCAAACCUUGCACAGCAGCACUAUUCCUUCUGGAAAAAAGAAAGAACAAGAUCUGUAUGUACAGAGAAGAGCUGUGUGUCUACAAAGAGCUGCUCGGCACAAUUAAGGAAAAUUUUGUCAGUAUGCUUUCAGCGACUACUAGUUUAUACAUGUGUAUAUAUAUACUCAUCAAGACAUUGAUAACAGGAACUCUCAAAAUUAGCUUAAAACAAGCUUAAACUAGCAGCAAUUCUUAUUUUCCUUAACCAAUAUGAAUUAAUUUCCACAAUAGCCAUUGGGCAUGAUGGAGAAAAUAUAUUUGUACUUAUUGCUGUCAUUUAUUUUCAUCAUGGAUACUAAGGAUUGCUGAAUUAUACAAUUUCUUGCCAUCAUUAACUUCAAAAUGAAAAAAUAGUGUCACAAGGAACACACCUUCAUAAAUGGUCGAUCACGAUAAGGGAAGGAGUCUAUGAAACUCUCCUUUAAGAGCAAUGACACCUAGAAGUAGAAGGAAUAUUAGGAUAAGGUUUAGCAAUAUUUGCAAUUAUUUACCAUCUGACAAUUAAGUCGGCGUGCAAGAUGCAAAUAUGGAAAGAGUAAUAUUCCCUGGUAUGCUUAUGUUUUGUGCACCAUGAGAUUGGCUUUCCUGUGAUUAAGACUUCAGGAAUACAACAAGGACUCCACAGAAUAAUAUCUUAAUUUGAAGAACUAUUAUCCAAAUACUUACUGGGACGUCUUAAAUUAUUAUCCACAUAUCAGUCCACCAAAACAAGGACAUCUUAAACUGGUCAGUCUUUACAACAUAUCCCCAUAAUUGGACUCAGUAGCCUAUGAAACCCAUACUUAUAACAUCAGAAUUGGGAGGUUAAAAAGGUCAAAGUAUACCUUCUACAAGAUAACCAUUAAGAAGCACUUUAAUCUGACAAAAUAUUCUAACAGAUAUGAUGUCUUUUUAAUUUUUGCUAGGUUUCUGAAAAAUGUAACUAGUGUGCUUUGGCACCCUCCAGUAAUGAAGUAUCAAUCUCUUUAUAUAAAUUUUGCACAGUUUAGUUCACUUAAUGAUAUUUUUGACAUUUUAAUGCAAUUGUACUAUUAUAUACCUAUAUAUAUCACAAACAUGGUGAAUCAUUUUUCUUGAGUAAAAGAACAUUUCUGAUUUAUUCUGCUCUUCCGUUAAGUAAAGCCUUUUCUUCCAAUAACUUAUCACAAACAAGAUUACCAUCAAUGACUAGCAGACAUGAAUUACAGUUAGAAUCAGUACAAAAG
RNAcentral lists this unclassified non-coding RNA (1519 nucleotides) under Hevea brasiliensis (rubber tree). Lineage: Eukaryota; Viridiplantae; Streptophyta; Magnoliopsida; Malpighiales; Euphorbiaceae. The record is from RNAcentral.